Molecule: ribosomal RNA, 482 nt
Filed under: uncultured bacterium
Lineage: Bacteria
Description: partial 16S ribosomal RNA
Rfam family: Bacterial small subunit ribosomal RNA
Source: RNAcentral
GACGAACGCUGGCGGCGUGCUUAACACAUGCAAGUCGAACGCUGAAGCUCAGCUUUUGUUGGGUGGAUGAGUGGCGAACGGGUGAGUAACACGUGAGUAACCUGCCCCCUUCUUUGGGAUAACGCCCGGAAACGGGUGCUAAUACUGGAUAUUCACUGGUCUUCGCAUGGGGGUUGGUGGAAAGGGUUUUUCUGGUGGGGGAUGGGCUCGCGGCCUAUCAGCUUGUUGGUGGGUGAUGGCCUACCAAGGCUUUGACGGGUAGCCGGCCUGAGAGGGUGACCGGUCACAUUGGGAGUGAGAUACGGCCCAGACUGCGACGGGAGGCAGCAGUGGGGAAUAUUGCGCAAUGGGCGCAAGCCUGAUGCAGCGACGCCGCGUGAGGGAUGGAGGCCUUCGGGUUGUGAACCUCUUUCGCUCAUGGUCAAGCCGCAACAAUGGUUGUGGUGAGGGUAGUGGGUAAAGAAGCGCCGGCUAACUACGUG